RNAcentral lists this ribosomal RNA (901 nucleotides) under Segatella copri. Its description in RNAcentral is "bacterial SSU rRNA". It matches the Rfam family "Bacterial small subunit ribosomal RNA", at positions 620 to 1533 of the family's 1533-position model. The record is from RNAcentral. Lineage: Bacteria; Pseudomonadati; Bacteroidota; Bacteroidia; Bacteroidales; Prevotellaceae.
ACUGCAGCGCGAACUGGUUUCCUUGAGUACGCACAAAGUGGGCGGAAUUCGUGGUGUAGCGGUGAAAUGCUUAGAUAUCACGAAGAACUCCGAUUGCGAAGGCAGCUCACUGGAGCGCAACUGACGCUGAAGCUCGAAAGUGCGGGUAUCGAACAGGAUUAGAUACCCUGGUAGUCCGCACGGUAAACGAUGGAUGCCCGCUGUUGGUCUGAAUAGGUCAGCGGCCAAGCGAAAGCAUUAAGCAUCCCACCUGGGGAGUACGCCGGCAACGGUGAAACUCAAAGGAAUUGACGGGGGCCCGCACAAGCGGAGGAACAUGUGGUUUAAUUCGAUGAUACGCGAGGAACCUUACCCGGGCUUGAAUUGCAGAGGAAGGAUUUGGAGACAAUGACGCCCUUCGGGGCCUCUGUGAAGGUGCUGCAUGGUUGUCGUCAGCUCGUGCCGUGAGGUGUCGGCUUAAGUGCCAUAACGAGCGCAACCCCUCUCCUUAGUUGCCAUCAGGUCAAGCUGGGCACUCUGGGGACACUGCCACCGUAAGGUGUGAGGAAGGUGGGGAUGACGUCAAAUCAGCACGGCCCUUACGUCCGGGGCUACACACGUGUUACAAUGGCAGGUACAGAGAGACGGUUGUACGUAAGUACGAUCAAAUCCUUAAAGCCUGUCUCAGUUCGGACUGGGGUCUGCAACCCGACCCCACGAAGCUGGAUUCGCUAGUAAUCGCGCAUCAGCCAUGGCGCGGUGAAUACGUUCCCGGGCCUUGUACACACCGCCCGUCAAGCCAUGAAAGCCGGGGGCGCCUAAAGUCCGUGACCGUAAGGAGCGGCCUAGGGCGAAACUGGUAAUUGGGGCUAAGUCGUAACAAGGUAGCCGUACCGGAAGGUGCGGCUGGAACACCUCCUUU